UUGUGUCUUUGUUGCAAAAGCUGGAAUUUUUAUGGUCCCCAGCCUGCUCUUACAUUGCCUUUCAAUCUCCUGCAGCUACUGUGGUUGAGAGGAAAGGUGUCUUUUUAUUGCUUCUAGAGACGUUGAAAGUGUGACCUGAGCACCUCAUAAUCAUGUGAAAAAGACACUCAAAAACUACCAUUUGAAUGGAUGGAUGAAAAUAACCUCCGUAUAUUCUACGAAGAUGUUUAAUAAUAAAUAGGUUUCGUUAUAAGAGAAUGUGUGUCACUUCGUCUCUUCCCUCACCCCCGAGACUUAGUGACAGUUAUUUUUGACUUUUCCAACUAUACUAUUUGCCUAGAAAAUGUGUCUAUUAAAUAGCGUAUUGAGAAAUAAGUUGUAUCCUGCCAUUAAUUACCAUUAUCAAGACACGUCCCAGGCAAGAUAAUAACAAAAACAACAACAGAAGAUCAUGGAAGCCUCAGCAAGGAAACUUUUCAAAGUCGCUAACCUCGUGGUCCAGCAGGGAGAGGUGGUGGGCGACUUACCGCUGUCAACCUCAGCUCUUAACUCACGGAAGAUUAUGUUCUCACUGUCACAGAUUCCCCACUCUGACCUCAGAAACAGUGUCCAUGAUUGUCAGCCACUUGGAUUAUUCCUUCACCCAGAGUUUGAGCAACAGCACCUUUGUUUCAUACCCCAAAUCAACCAUUCCUAGAACUCGCUGUUUUUGUUUGCUCCCUUGAGUCUUAGUUGUUUGCAGUGUGUUGGUGGAGCUGAGCUGUAAUGCACGAUUGAUCCAUAGGGACUGCUGAGAGUUUCUUUGCUUGAAGGUUUGAUGUGAAUAAACACAUCACUGUCUUACCAGCUUUUUCUUCUUUUGAGAAUACACAUGCCAAUAUUUAGAAAGUAUAUUCUUCUAGAUACCAUAGGGUAUAUUUUUGACAAAUAUUAAUUACUUGCAUUAAAUGAAGUCAUAAUGGACACCAUUUCAGAAAUCUUGGAUUCAACAAAGGAUUGUCCAGACCUCACAGCUGAC
RNAcentral lists this long non-coding RNA (1018 nucleotides) under Homo sapiens (human). RNAcentral's name for it is "non-protein coding lnc-SMOC2-1:1". The record is from RNAcentral. Lineage: Eukaryota; Metazoa; Chordata; Mammalia; Primates; Hominidae.